AUUGAACGCUGGCGGCAUGUUUUACACAUGCAAGUCGAACGGUAACAGCACUUCGGUGGCUGACGAGUGGCGAACGGGUGAGUAAUACAUCGGAACGUGCCUAGGAGUGGGGGAUAACUACUCGAAAGAGUAGCUAAUACCGCAUGAGAUCUAAGGAUGAAAGCAGGGGACCUUCGGGCCUGGCGCUACUACAGCGGCUGAUGGCAGAUUAGGUAGUUGGUGGGAUAAAAGCUUACCAAGCCGACGAUCUGUAGCUGGUCUGAGAGUACGACCAGCCACACUGGGACAGAGACACGGCCCAGACUCCUACGGGAGGCAGCAGUGGGGAAUAUUGGACAAUGGGCGCAAGCCUGAUCCAGCAAUGCCGCGUGCAGGAUGACGACCUUCGGUUUGUAGACUGCUUUUGUAAGGAGCGAAAGGCGCUCAACUAAAACAGGGGGGUCAUGACGAUACCGUAAAAAUAAGCACCGGCUAACUACGUG
Molecule: ribosomal RNA, 482 nt
Filed under: uncultured bacterium
Lineage: Bacteria
Description: partial 16S ribosomal RNA
Rfam family: Bacterial small subunit ribosomal RNA
Source: RNAcentral